Molecule: unclassified non-coding RNA, 672 nt
Filed under: Hevea brasiliensis (rubber tree)
Lineage: Eukaryota; Viridiplantae; Streptophyta; Magnoliopsida; Malpighiales; Euphorbiaceae
Source: RNAcentral
UUCUUCUGUUCUAUUUUCUCACAGAGACCAAAAGUGGGAAGCAAUAUACAUUUAACCAGUUGAGAACAAAGUGUAAUGCACAAAUUCUAUAAAAUAAUAUAUUCGUUCCAAUUAUAUUUUACUCCUACCAGCUAUGUUCAAGUCCUUCAAAGCCUUCUUCUGAAUAGCCAAAAAUAAGUCAUAAGCACGCCUUUCAAAAAUAUCAUUUACACGUGUUUCUCAACACCUUUAAUAAUAGCCAGAAAAGCCAUAAGCAUGACUUCCAUGCAUAACACUUGCAUGGUUCUCUUAACCCCCUUAAUGAUGCUCAUGUUGUACCAGCUCAUAUCUACUUGGUAGCUGAAUGUUAAGAGUGUAUUGGGUGGAAAAAUAGAAGGUUUAAAGUUUAAACUGAGAACCAUUAAAGUGAAAGAGAAUAAAAGGGUAUAACCUAUAAAGGGAUCAAAAGCCAACUGAAAAUCAUUGUGGCCUUGCGGCAGUUUAUAUAUAACUAUGCACAAAUAAGCUUUAGUCCCUGCAACUAUUCCAUGUAUUUGUGGAGGGAAAGAGAGGAGGAUUUUGGGGGAGAAGGAUUUUCUCCACUGUAAAUGUUAUGUCAAAGUGGCUUAAUACUUCAAACUUUUUGUUUAGCAGGCAACAAUUUUUCUGGGCAUACAAAUUGCCUUUCACAUU